This 305-nucleotide long non-coding RNA is filed under the name Gallus gallus (chicken). The record is from RNAcentral. Lineage: Eukaryota; Metazoa; Chordata; Aves; Galliformes; Phasianidae.
ACCGUGCAAAAAAGAAAUAGUGGCUGCCCGGGGGGGGUCCCGAGGAGCCCAGUGUGUCGGGGCCGUGGGAGGGGCGGUGGGGGCUACGCGGGGGUCUCAGCGGCGCGGCUCUCCGUCUCGCCGUCGCUGGUGGGGCUGCGGGAGGAGCGCUCCGUGCUCUCUGUGGCAUCCAGCUCCUCGUCCCAUCGGUCGUAGGAGAAGGGUUUCCGGCAGCUCGGGGGGCUGCUGCUGCCCUUCAGGCUGCCAUCAUCUGAGAGCGCUUUGGAAGAGCCUUUGUUCUUGGACAGCCACGACUUCACCCCGUC